This 35744-nucleotide long non-coding RNA is filed under the name Oryza sativa (Asian cultivated rice). RNAcentral describes it as "long non-coding RNA (OSAT_LNC001666)". The stretch from base 9682 to 9886 matches the Rfam family "MIR812 microRNA precursor family". Lineage: Eukaryota; Viridiplantae; Streptophyta; Magnoliopsida; Poales; Poaceae. The record is from RNAcentral.
CUUCAGUCUUCGUUCCUAAUGCUGCCAUGCCAGCAUAUGGUGAACCUGCUUACCUGACAGGUGGAGCGCCAAAGAGAAUGAGGAACAACUAUGGUAUCGCCGUGCCCCAGGGAAAUGGCAUGCCUAAUCUCGCACAAAACAUGCCCACCUUCGAUCCCGAGAUGAAGUAUUUGCCAUUACCUUAUGUUGAGAGCAGCUCAGAUGAAUCAAUGGACAACCUUCUGCAAAAUGAUGCUACACAAGACGGGGCAAGCAACGAGGGCAUCUGGAGCCUUGAUGAGCUGCUCAUGGCAGCUGGUGCCUACUGAGGAGACGAAAUGUUCUGGUCAGUGUGGUCUGUCACUAGCAAACCAUGUAAGGCACUCCACACUACCUACUAUUUUGAUUUCUUGUAGAUACAUUUUCAUGUACAGAUUACAUAUGUUGUAAAAUGGGAUAUGGUUUUCUUGUCAGGUUGAAUGUGUAUGGCCAAGAUGAAGAGCUGGUGAUGUCUGCUAUGUUUUGUAGAGGGAUGCUACCAAAGUAAUGCUAGAAUAUUACAAGCUGCUAUCAGCUGUACUCUCUAUGACAAUGUUUAUACUAUGUUUGCUGUAUGGUGUGGUCUAUGAUUUGAAGUAUGUUGGAGACUGAUUCAAAUAACUGCCUUGGCCAUGUGUGUGCUGUAAUGUGCUUAUUAAGUUAUAUAGUUGUGCUCAUAUUGCGUAUCUACAAUCUGCAACUUUGAAAGUGCUCGCUUUCGCUUUCCUGUGCAGUUCUGCUUUUCUGGAAUGUCAACAGCUAGUGUGUGACAUCAGAAAUCUAGAGAAAUCAAGACAGAAUCAAGCUUACAUGUUAACGAUGUAUGAGCUUAUUUGUCUUGCCCAGCUUACUUGUUGGGAAUGAUUUGUGUCUCAUUCCAGCAAUGUAUAUUCUGAGCAGUCGGUGGUUAAGGCAUAAGCUGAUUUUUGGCUUUUCUUUCGUGCUAUAUUUAUACUUUGAUGCUGAAGAUUUAAUACUGGGGCAGUUGAUUGGCUACAGGACUGUGACCUGAAAAAAAAAGCUUAAAUAAGAUCAUUUGCACACUGGAUUUGGUUCCUGGUUUUGCUUUAUCAUAUUGGCAUUCGGAUCUGCAACCACAAAGUCUUUCAUUUACUCGUAGCUGUUAGCUUAUCUUUUUCGUCUUUGCGAUGCUUAGUGAUGUACUUUUCAGCAAGUAGCCAAUGUUUAUGGCUUAAGGCAGAAAUUUCAGGCUCCAGGGCGAGUCUGCUUCAUGGCGGAUUAUAUCUCGAGAUUUUGCUUCUGACAACAAAUCGAAAACUAGGGAGCAAAUUGGCCAAGUUGGGAAUUUCUCCUCUGGCUCUUGCCAUUGGGUGUGGUCCUCUCCGAAUUAUUGCCAUGAGAGAUAGUCAGUGACAGAGACGGCCUGGGUUCAGUUGCAUCGUGGUUUAAGGAUUCUAACCUUUUCACUGAUCACCAUUUUCCGCCAAGUGGUUCUCUCAGAAAGUCUCUAGCUCCGGCCUUAAAUUAUUUUACCAGGGCAGUGAUCGGCACGGCAGAGUUUACACGGAUCUUUGAACAAAAAUUCAGAAUCUGAAUCAGCUAAGAAAAAAAAAAUCAUUCGUAAGCACUUGGACUUCUAGUGCAUGACGAAUGUUCAUGUCUCGUAUUUAGGAGCCGUUUGCAACAACGGAAAAUCAUAAUAGAACAAUACGGUGACAAUUGAGAGUACAGGAAUUCAGUGUUUGAAGUCUCCUUUGGAACGAAGGAAAUGAACCACGUACGAGAAUCAGGUAAAGUUCAUGCGUUCUAGCCUGUCUCGGCGAACGCCCACAGCCCCCACACCCUCUUGUCAUGGAGAUAUUUCUGAUUUCUGAAGACGUAAUCAAAGAAAGGCCUGUUUUGGAUGAACUUUUAACAUAUGUAGUUUCUUUUCAAACCUGUAGAUUUCUCAAACAUAUUAGAUUUUUUUCAAUGAUUCUAAGAAUUUAUAGUUACGAAAUCCAAAAAAAAUAACCAGAACUCAAAAGUUGGAAAACCCAGUUUUUUUUUCAUAUUCUCACUAGCUGGCUUCGAUCUCACGAUAUACUUAUCAGAAUUUUAAGCUCCCUAAGCAAGCAAGAUGUUGCUCCUAUGCAGGAGAGAGGUGAACAUCGACGAUGAGGACACAAAGCACUUGUGCUGGGGGUCAGAAAGGGACCGCAUUGACAGGUGCAAAUAUAAUCAUCGAUGAGUGCUUCGGUUGGCUGCUACUUGCCAGCGUUGAUGCCUACCUCCGGCGUCCGUUUGCCGUGCCAUGGAUCCCACUCCCUCCCCAGGUUCACUGAACUCAACCCCCCCUCCCUCCUCCCCCCUGCCACAUCGCCCUCACCUCUCCCUAGUGACCAGCAAUUUGUUGGGUAGAUCUCUCCCUCCUUUUCUUUUCUCCUUUCCAUAGACACUAUCAUACAAAGCAACAAUUAGACGAUUCCUUAUGGACUACUACUUCCUUUGUCUCAUAAAAAAUACAUUUAUCAGUUUUUAAGAUACAACUUUUAUAACUCUUCAUCUUAUUUAUUUUUUUAGAUUAAUAUUUUUAUUUAUAUUAGAUGAUAAAACAUAAAUAAUACUUUAUGCGUAACUAUUUUUUAAAAUUUUUUUAAAUAAGACGGAUAGUCAAACAACAUAAUCAUAAAAAUAUGUUAUUUGUGGGAUGGAGUGAGUAGUAUUGGAAUACUGGACCCCUACUCACACUGCAUGCAUACUGCUGGUGUGGUGAUGCAAUUAAUUCAGCUGGAUUAGGACCUGAUGAAAAUAAUUGAGGAGAUUGAAUGGCUUAUAUACACUUACUGCUAAUCUGUCAGCGAUUGUGUUAAUCAGCGAGAGCUGGGCUUCCUCAUGUGCUACCGCAGUACUGUUGCUCAGCUCUUUCUUAAAAGGAACAGGAAAGGGAAAAGAGGAUGACGAAAAGAACUGUGUCGCGGUGGUGCCUGGCCUGGUUGGCUACCGGUCGAUCGUCUGUAGUAGUAUGCACUAGGAGGGCGUAGGGAGAGGUGGUAGUACCAAGUUGGCGCUAGAUUCGCCACUGCCAAGGCGCACACACGACACGUCACCUUUUUGUUUGUUUGGGUGCGUGGAGUAUAGACACGUACACCGUAGUACAGUCAUGAUGAUUCAUUCCCUGUCCACACGCAGAGAGUGGAAAAAGGCUUGCCGGUUUCUUUCGUUCUUUACCUGCAAUUGGGCUCCCGGCCGUUUGUGCCCUACUUGCACGCACCGAUCAUUCGUUCGCUCGGUUAUUACCCCCUCCUCCACUGAUAUGAUGUCGUCACUAGCUUGGGGGGUGGAUUUGCUCGCUUUGCCCCUGUUUCCUCGUACCUGACCGCCGUGGGGGCCUCGCCGUUGCCGUGCCCGUGCGUGCGUGCAGAAUGCGUGUUUGCUGCGUGCGCCGCGCCGUUUUUCGCUGCACGCGCGCGUCCGCGGCCGCGCAGCCGCGGGAGGAGCCGAGGCGCGAGGGGUGGGGGGCGCCGUUUCGCUAGCUAGCGACGCGCGCGCGAUGACGUACGUGCGGCGUGCGCGCGCCACGCGCGUUUGCGCCGUCUCCUCCUCUCGGCUGUGGUUUUAUUUUUUCUCGACCGCGUACCGGGCGCGGCAGUACGCGGCCGCGUGGAGGUGGAAAUCGUCGCGUGGCGGUGGCGCGCGAGGCGGCUAACGUACGUGCGUACGUACGCCGGCGGACGCGCGCAGUGGCUAAGGUUGUUUGAUGAGACACGAGCAGGGCGGAUCCAACGUAGGUGCAGGGGGACUCGAGUCCCCCCUACACCCACCAGACCUAUAGAUACCUCUGGAAUACCCCCUUUAAUUUUUUCAUCAUAUAAAUGAUAAACUAAAGUUUUCUAAAUAGCUGAAGGUUAAAGAAACAGUGUAAUUGAGUCCCUCCAAUUUUUUUUCCUUAUCCGCCAGCGCGGGGAUACGGACAACGUGUAUAUGCAGCGGCGUAACGCGGGUGAGGGAGGCGCGGUUGGAUCGGAUCGUCACACGCCAUCGAGCCAAAAAAAAAAAUCUCUGUCGACCGGUGAUUUCCGCGAUCGGACGGCUCCCAACGCUGCGCUUUUUGGUGCCCUUUAUGAUGGGGCUGUCUACACAUUUAACGUUGAAUUUUCUCUAAAAAAAUCAGACGUAAGUAUAACAUAAUUCUUUAAUUAUAUAUUGUAACUUGUAUUUAACUAUAGUAUAACUCACACGUAACUUUCAAAAAUCACAUCGUAACACGCUAUUUGUACCAAGCGAAGGUCACGGGAUCAAAUCCCCUUACCUGUGCCUGCACUGUGAUUUUUUCCAUCCAUUCUUAUACAAAUAUUAAAGUAAAUCUAACGGUUUAAAAUUACAUCAGAGUUACUUUGUAAUUAUAUCAAGUUACGUUGUACUCCCUUCGUAUUUUAAUGUAUGACGCCGUUGACUUUUCAACCAACGUUUGACCAUUCAUUUUAUUCAAUUUUUUUAUGCAAAUAUGAAAAUAUUUAUGUCAUGCUUAAAGAACAUUUGAUGAUGAAUCAAGUCACAAUAAAAUAAGUGAUAAUUACAUAAUUUUUUUGAAUAAAACGAAUGGUCAAACAUUGAAAAAAAAAUCAACGGCGUCAUACAUUAAAAUAUAGAUGUAGUAUUUAUAUUUAAUAAAGUCUUAAAGAAAAUUUGUGAACAAACAUGUAGCAAAACCUUUUAUGAAUCAUCAUCAUCAUCGCAUAGAUGAGGUGAUCACGAGGACAAGUGAUAUGUAUCUUCAGAUAUUUUCGAGUGCGUGCUACCUGCAGCACGUAGUAACAUUUCUCUCGCCAAACUGCACCUAACGAAAAACGAUCGAUCACCCAAUCAACAAUACAAAACGAAUUGAUCCUCCCGCCGUGUCGAGCACAUCAAACAGUACGUACAUUAUGGUAGUGGUGACCAAGCUUGGAUGGAUGGGACAACUCGACGCAAGUAGCAGAGCUAAGCUAAUUAAUCCAGCAGCUUUGACGAAACGCCAAGCCUUAAAUUUGUCUGGCAACUUUGCUCUCGUACGUGUUCGGCUUACCAACUUGAGGCAUCACUAGCGAUUAGCUGAAGACGGAUCCAGUGAAUGGCAGCCACUUCUACGAGAUAACAGUAAACUUCUCGAUCAGUGUGAUUGGAUAUAUCUUACUGCUCGGCGAUAGAAAAGGUCGUCCGACAUACCAGUCUGUCCUUAAAAAAAAAAAGAUAAACUCUAGCUAUAAAUCUAGACAUAUACGUGUCCAGAUUCGUAGUUAGGAUUGAGCUUUUUUUAGACGGAGGGGUAAACAAACGGGUACCAAUUCCCUGUCGUUUUGCUUGCAAUUGGCAAUUGCAAGGAGAUAGUACAUGUAAUUGACGGGGGACGCAUCUAAGCCGUCGCCUUCGUUGGGACGAGCCAAAAUGUACGGCGGACAGGGACUUUGGGCAGCAAUUCAAGUUGUCAUUUUGGCUUCAGCUGGGCUUGUGAUAACGGCUGCCCAGAGAUAGAUCAUUGCUAAUCUGGGUGCAAAUAUAUAUUAUUCUAAUUCUGUCAUCUCUGUCCCGGGGUAGUUCGAGUAACUUAACACUGACAAUGGUCAUCUAAAUACACUGCCUCUUAGAAUCAGGUAAGAAGAGGCAUACGUUAUCGAACUAGCAUUAGUGGAGAAAUGAUAUUUGCUGGAUCAAUCUAAAACCACAAUAGUCCGGUUCCAAAAAGAACCGGGACUAAAAAUGAUUUUUAAUCCCGGUUGAAAACCCUACUGCCAUUUUAUGAUUUUUAGUUCCGGUUGGGAUUCCCAACCGGGACUAAAGAUCGGUUUAUCCCCAGUCAGAUGUAUGUUAGGAGGCCGAGGAUCUUUAGUCUCAGUUGGUGGCAUCAACCGGGACUAAAGAUUACCACUUUAGUCCCGGUUAGUAAUACCAACCGGGACUAAUAUAAAGAUCAAGUGAACGCGUAAUAUAUAAUCCCUAUUACUUAUCCUCUCCUCCACAAUCGCAACACAUAGAUCGAAUCUCUCCCUCUUCUCCUCCUCCACUCCUACAGGCCUCUCUUCUUCUCCUCCUCCACUCCUACAAAUCUACCCUCUCUUCCUCUCCUCCACCUCCUCCUCUCCUCCCCCUCCUCCCCUUCCUAUCCGUCGGGCCGGUGGGCGGCGGACAGGCGGCCGGAGGCCGGUGAGGCUGCGCCCGGCAGCCGGCGGCCGUGGCGAGCGGCGGCAGCGGCUUCGUUUUUCGUUUUUUUAAUAAUAUGUGAUUCACUGAUAUGUAUAAAUUUGUGAUUUAUUGUAUGAAUCUGUGAUGUAUUUGAUUUGUGUGUAAUUUUUUAGGAUCUGUGAUGUAUUUGAUUUGUGUGUUAUUUUUUAGGAUUUGUGAUGUAUUUGAUUUGUGUGUAUAAGUAACUUUAAGAUUUGUGAUGUGAAUUUCGGAUGUUACUUUGAUUUGGGAAUUUGGGGUUUGAUUUGGUGAUUUGCAUGCCACUUGAUUCGGGAGAAAAUAAAAAGGAAAAAAAAGAAAAGGGGGCCAUCUUUGGUUAUUUCACCCGGGACUAAAGAUAGCGAUCUUUAGUUCCGGAUUGAUAGUAAACUGGAACUAUAUGGGGUUACAAACUGGGACUAAAAUACACUUCUCUACCAGGGGAUUUGACAGAAGAAAUAUUCAACGUUAUAGAUACCAUAAUCGAUCACCAUCGGCCACAACGCAACAGUGAACUGCGAAGGGCACACUGCACCGAGUGCAACCCUAUUAUCAAAACUUCAAAAGCGACCUCGAACAUGCGAGGUUCACCAAACCAUUCUUGAGAAAAAAACACAGGGUUAACAGUUUUUUUUUUUGGUUUUUGUGAAAUCGGAAAUCUGGUUUAGUUUUAUCAAAAAUAUUGAAAUUUAGUUUGAUUUUUAAAAACUUGAUUGGGAAAUCCAGCGGUCUGCGUUCGCAAAAAAAUAUCUAGUUUCAUGGGGUAAACACUGCCAACAUAUCUCCACCGGUCUUCCCCUUAAUUCUUGAGUGCAUUUUGUUUGUUUGAAUUUUUUUUAAAAGAAAAAAAUCGACGUCUCGUUAGUGCUCGAAUUUCACUGACAAAAGAUGAGGUAAACCCCCAACAUGGAAUGCAUAGAUCACGUUAUUGUUCUAAUAUUGAUCACGUACUGAGUAGGGAUCUCUCAGUGGCGCCCCACAUGCUCACGCAAAGAUAUUCUAAAGCAUGUAAUCAAAAUCUCUCUUGGAAUCCUCCAUAGGCCAUGCACAGAGCGGGGAUAUAGUGAGUAUCCCUAGCUUGCCAUGUUGGAUCUACAUGUCCACCCUAGCCUCUGUUCUAUCCCCGCAGAGGCACAAUGGCCUCAGGGCGAGUACUAUAAUGACCCAUAUGUUGUCCCUAAGAAUACCACAUUGAAUUGAGUGAUGAUGUGGAUGAGAGAAGUGAGGAGAGAGAUGAUGAGCCACCCCUAAAUCAAGAGGCAACCUCCACACAAAUUUCAAAAAGGAUGUGAGAGUAUUAGAUAUAUUAAUAUUUGUAUACUAGAGGUGAUACAUUGUAUGAGUUGCCUCUUAAUUCAUUAUUGAAUAAAAUAGAUAAAUUUGGAGGUGAUAGUCACAUCUACCAUAGCACUUGCCCUCACCAGGCCAAGGGCAGGAACACGUGGAGGAACAACUCCCAAGGAAGCGACCAAAUAGUGUUUGGGACGAGAGAAUGAGUGCGGCACGGGGAAGGGCAGCUUACUGCCAGACUGUAGGAAGCUCAUCGGUCAGCCGUCCCCAAUCCGCUAGCACCAGGGGCCGCUCAAGUAGAUCCACCGCCAUUAUAGCUGCUUUGAAACCUAAAGUUGUGGUUGCCGUGGCCGCUCCACUAGAAGAGUUAGUAUCCUAACAGUGUACUUAUCCUACCUAUGACCCUGAGACCCCUUCUAGGGAAGACUUUUCUAGGGCUAUGCCAACUUUUCGAUGUCUUUAUCAGAUAGGAGCACUGGUUUCUUCUUGUUUGACCAGUAACAAGACACAUACCUGUUUGGUCCAAGGUGCCACCUAGGCAUAAGACCCAUGAAAGAUACAAGGUCUAUGGUGCAUGUGUCAUCAAGUAGAAGCUUAAAUAAAUAUUACCUCCAUUCCAAAAUGUUUGACGCCGUUGACUUUUUAAAAAAUGUUUGACCGUUCGUCUUAUUCAAAAAAUCUAAGUAAUUGUUAAUUCUUUUCCUAUCAUUUGAUUUAUUGUUAAAUAUACUUUUAUGUAUACAUAUAGUUUUACACAUUUUACAAAAGAUUUGAAUAAGACGAAUGGUCAAACAUAUUUAAAAAAUUCAACGGCGUCAAACAUUUAGGGUAGGAGGGAGUAUACCCAAAGUCACGUAUUGGAAGCCACAAGCCUCACCUCCGUAGUGCGGCCAAGAUCUCUCCCUCUCCACGCUACACGCUCUCGAUAACUUCAAAGAACACAUGAUCCUCUUUGAACGCGUGAUCUUCAGGUUUUGAUAGGUUCAGACGCGGACGUGAUGCUGAGUCUCCAAGGUGGAGUGCUCGGGCUGAAAGCCACGUUGCACUAUGAAGGCCCUUAACAACGUCAUCACAUCUAAGCAAAAUGUCACGUAGUCUAGUGGUUGCAGUGACUUGAGUAGCACUCUAAGGUACCGAGUUUAAAUCUAUAUAGGAGUGGAUUUCAGAUUAAGUUAUUUCAUGGGCUAAUUUAAAAAGUCUGCAUAUAUAUCCGGUUGGAUAUAGAGGCUGGAUGAAAAAUAUUCUUCUCUAAAAUAAAAUAAAUAAAUAAAUUAAAAAGCCAAAUCUCUAUGCAGAUUUCAGAUUAGAUUGUUUUAUAGCCUAAUUUAAAAAGGCUGCACAUAUCCGGUUAAAUAUAGAGGCCGGAUAGAAAAUAUCCUUAUAUGAAGUAAAAUAAAUAAAUUAAUUAAAAAGCGUGUGCUUCCGAGAGUCCGAGAUCCGUACGUGAACUUUUGAGCUGUGACAUUUGCUGACAUGGAUGGAUAAAUUAAGCUUCAACAGUACGAAACGGCCUUUGUUUUGUUUUUGCCUCUGUUUUGCUUCCGUGCCUGGCCGCUCAGCUAGCUCGAAGCAAUCGGAUAGUAAAAGUUCCAACUGCUCGUACGAAACGGCAUAACGCGGGGCCACUCCAGUACGCGGAUCAACAGUGAGAGCAGCAGUAGCUGUAACUCUGUAAGCUGUAGCUAACGAUUCCAUAUGAAUAUUCCGGUUCUGAUCUGAUCGUUUGAUGUACUGCUCGGAGAGUGAGGGGCCGAGUGGCCCGACAUGCGCAGUCGAUCGACAAAAUGUUUUCCUAAUUUUUUUUUUAAAAACAUCACAUCGAAUUUUGGACACAUGCAUGAAGCAUUAAAUAUAGAUAAAUGAAAAAACUAAUUACACAGUUAGGGAGGAAAUCGCGAGACGAAUCUUUUGAGUCUAAUUAGUUCAUGAUUAGCCAUAAGUGCUACAGUAACUCACAUGUGCUAAUGACAGGAUAAUUAGGCUCAAAAGAUUCGUCUCGCGGUUUCCAAACAAGUUAUAAAAUUAGUUUUUUUAUUCGUGUCCGAAAAACCCUUCCGACAUUCUAUCAAAAAUCCGAUGUGGCACCCAAAAAUUUUCUUUUCUCGAACUAAACAGGCCCAUUAAUGUCGCUCGCUUACAAUUUGCACGGAGACGAGAGACGCAAGCAAAAUCCAUGGAGCGAGCCAUCUGAUAGCUCAAGCAUACCUGCACGUACGACUCCCUCCGUCCUGAAAUAAGCACAGACAUGAGUUUCCGUGUCCAACUUUAAUCGUCUGUUUUAUUUAUUUUUUUUAAAAAGAACCUUAAAAACUUAAGUAAUGUAUAAAGUAUUAUUCAUAUUUUAUAAUCUAAUAAAAAUAAAAAUAUUAAUCAUAAAAGAAUUUUAAAUAAGACGAACAAUUAAAGUUGGAUAUGGAAACUCAUAACUGCGUUUAUUUUGGAACAGAGGUAGUACAGCGGAGAUUGGGGGCUGUUUUGGUUUUAUGCCAAAAACUUGCCCUACCGAAUAGCUGGCAAUUUAAAUAGUACUUUGUAGAUGUUUGGAUUGAUGCCAAUAUUUGCCAUAGCUAAUAUAACUCAUAUAGUCCAACUCUACCAAAACAUUGGUAGUGCCAAAACAUGCCCAAGAUUUGGUUCUACCAAUGGUUUGGUAGGGCAUCAAACCAAAUCAGCCCUGGACUUGGGAGUCUUGGAGCCGUCAUUUGACUUCAUAGUACUCUAGUGCAUUUUAAUACAACACCAAUCAAAUACUCCUUUGGUCUCAUUUUAAACGCAGCCAUAAGUUUCUGUGUCCAACUUUGAUCGUCCAUCUUAUCUAUUUUUUUUAAAAAAAUUAAAAACAUAAAUUACAGAUAAAAUAAUAUUCACGUUUUAUCGUCUAAUAAUAAUGAUGAUGAUGAUGAUUCUUUUUUAAAUAAGAUGAACGAUUAAAGUUAGACACAUAAACUCAUGGUUACGCUUACAAUGUGACAGAGGGAGUAGAAGGCCUCUUCUAUCAUCGAAGUAUUCAGGGAACUACAAUAUGAGACAUUAUUUGGCACCAAAACUAAUUUGAUAGGUAUGGUAGAAAGAUUAGCAUUUCAACUUCGUAUAUGCUGUUUAGUAGCAUUAUCUUAAAAUACAUAUAUAUGCCGUUUAAUUUUUCUCUUGUAGUAGAAAAAUACAAGUAUUGAGUGUUAGCCAGGAGUUUUUAUAAAUUAACAAAGUGUUAGCCGGAUGUAUAAACAUACUAAGAAGAUUGUAGAACUACAUAUAGGAAAAACAAAGAACAGAAAACCGAGGAACUAUAAAGCCUUUUGCAUAUUCCCGAAAAAACAUAUACUCCUAUCAACCCUGCUAUACGUCCGACGCAAAUCAUCCGACUACCAUACGACUGAAACGGCAACAACGAACGCUGAAACGGCAACAACGAACAACGUGACGGCGUGAGACGACUCUCUGUAUAUGAAUCGGUCCAAUGCCAUGCAAGCCCAUAUACAAGUCUAGACUCUAAGCCCAAACUCAGGAAGACAGCAUUAACAUGGUGGACAUGGCUACACAACUGUUCUGCCGGAGUUUUGGUCGAUCUCAAUCACUGCCUGCUAACUUCGAUCUCUAUCUAACAUUCUCUUGUAAUGUUUUCACAGCUGCAGAUGCCCAUUUUCCAGACAAGUUUUUUUUUAACCCUCUUAAUAUACUCCCCCGUUUCAGGUUAUAAGAAGUUUUGACUUUGAUCAAAGUUAAACUGCUUGAAGUUUGAUCAAAUUUGUAAAAAAAUAGUAACAUUUUCAUCCCAAGAUAUUGUAAAUAUUACUAUAUUUAUCUAUAAACUUAGUUAAAUUUAAAGUAGUUUAACUUUGAUCAAUGUCAAAGUAGUUUAACUUGUAAUAUGAAACGGAGAGAGUAUAUACCAUAGUUUCAAGUUCUAUUUUUAUGGCUAUAACAGGUUGCAUUAAACAAAAUAUAAAUGCAGUGAUGUCCAAAACCACAAGCAUAGUUUCUAAUUCUUAAAUAAAAAUAAAACAUGCAAAUAUUCUGUUUAGUUCUCUGAUUGAAAUCACAAGACUACAACCAAGUUUGAUCACUGUUUCAUAAGAUAUGCAAAGCAAACGUCUAUUUAGCUGCUUAGCUUUGACUUGGGCUUUUGGAAGGCGCAACGAGAUGGAGAAUCACACCGGAGCUGAAUAGAUCACGUCGCUUACGCCGUGGUCGUACGACAGUCGGACGCCGUAGUCGUGUGUGUAGCAUUUUCCUACUCCUAUAUAUCUCCAACCUAACAGCAUGAUGUGUGUGUAUAUAUAUAUAUAUGUAUAUAUAUAUAUAUAUAUACAUAUAUAUAUACAUAUAUAUAUAUAUACAUAUAUAUAUAUCUAUACCUGAUAAGGAUAACAAAAGCCUUGAUAUUAUCAAUCAUUCACUGUUAUAAACAUUCAACCGGUUUAAAAUUUUCACAUCCUAAAAUGACAGGGAGGUGUAUAUCCCUUCCAAUGGGGAGAAAAGCUCUUGAAAAUAAUGCAUUGUCUUAUAUAUGGUUGAAAUAUAGUGAUAAACUAUUCAAUCUCAUCGUGGGAUUACCUCAACAAUAAAAUUUAAAAAAGAGUUAUUAUGUGGAAUCUGUAGAUGCCUAUUGGUUGAAAUAUAGUGAUAAACUAUUCGAUCUCCUCGUAGGAUUACAUCAGAAUAAAGUUUAAAGAAUAUUAUUAUUGUGUAGAAUUUGUAGAUGCCGGUCGACUAACCACCGUUCACUCUUUUUUGUCUUAUCUCUCUCCUCAAUGGUGACAUGGCCACAAAUACUCCUACAUAGUGAGCUAUAUAAGUCAACUUGGAAUAAGUGCACUUGAGGUCCCUUAACUUAUCAACGAAUCCGAUUUUCGUCCUUCAACCGAAAAACCAGAUACAAUGGUCCCUCAACUAUCAAAACCGGUGCAAAACAGGUCCCUCAGUGGUUUUGAUGGUGGUUUUGGCUGAUGUGGCGCCUACGUGGCCGGUUUGACUUGGUCCUCAUCUUACGUGGCGGUGACAUGGCAUUGGAAGCAAAAUAUAAAAAUAAAAACAAAAUGUGGGGCCCACAUGUCAGUUAGACCAAAGAAAAAAGAGUGGGACCCACCAUCAUCUCUAUCCACGGACGAGUGGACGAUGGGAGAGGGAGCGACCGACGCCUCCUCUCUCCCCACCCAGCAUCUUUCCUCGCCGGCCGGCGAGCGUGCGCGGAGAGGGAAAAAGGCGUUGGCCAGCGAGGGGGGCGAAGACGGCCGCUGGCCGCCCGUCCUUUGCGCGCGGAUCAGCUCGCCCUGAAUGAUCCUCCGCUGCAGCAUCUUGCCGCCGUGCGGCCAGUCGAAGGAGUUGACGGCGUUCAGCAUUGCCGCAUCGACGUGGCUGUCCAUGUUGAAGCUGAUCGGCGUCCGGUGAGACCUUCUCGAAGCACACGUAGCAGGUCACGCUACUUCCGGGGCACGGUGGCGGCGGCGCCAUGGCCGUGCCGCCGCUGCUGUUCUUCUCCUCCGCCUGCUGCUGCUGGAUCACGAUGCCGGCCUCCUUGAGCAUGCGGUCUCGGCCCUCCCUGAGCAUGUGGUCUAGGAUGGAUUCCAUCUUCCAGCGGUGUUGGAUGAGGGCGCGAGCCUUUAUGUAGAGCAGUGUUAACUACCCCCAAGAACAGAGGAAGAAUCGCCCAAACAGAACAACGAUACACACACACAGAUGGAUUUCACCAACCCGACAGGGUUGAUGCCGCCGCCGCCUUCGCCGCCUAGUUCAUCCUCAACUCAUCCAAAUGAAUACAGAGUUAGUUUUAAGAUGCUCUCUCUCUCACACGCAACUAUCGACAGCCUGGACAUGGUGCUCAUAUGGCCCAUUCCGGCCCACUCACUCUAGGAUUACAUACUCGGUGCCUAACAGGUCUUCCUUCCUUAGUCUGCUUAACCUCCUUGGUCUUGACAGUGUUCUGUAGCUCAUCCGGUAUAGCUGUGCUGCUGACAACCCCCUCUCCUUGAGAAGUGGCUUGACCCCAAGCCAAGGCAUUAGGAAAACGCUGACACAACUCAACUUGAUCCUCCCAAGUUUCCUGUCCUGCAACAUUUCUAGACCACCGAAUUAAAACUUGAGCUUUCACAGAGUUACCUUUCCUGAUCUGACGAGAAGCCAAGAUAACCACUGAAACUUUAAGGUCAGAACAUGCAGGCAAACACGGUUGAACAGAAUGCCUGAACCCAACAGCAUGCUUAAGCUGUGAAACAUGAAAAACAGGGUGAAUGGAGCUCUCUGCAGGAAGAGACAACUUAUAAGCCACCUUGCCCACCCGAUGUAAAACUUGAAAAGGACCAAAAUAACGGAAUGAUAGUUUAUGAUUUGCUCUUUUUGCCACAGAGGACUGAAUAUAAGGUUGCAAUUUCAAGUAGACCCAAUCUCCAUCAGAAAAUUCUCUGAAACUGCGCUUUUUGUCUGCAUACAGCUUCAUUUGUUGCUGGGCACGAUUCAGGUGUUGUUUCAGUAACUGAGUCAUCACCUUACGUUCAUUUAACCACUCAUGCAAAUCAGGUACUGAGCAGGCAUCAUCCCUUAUACCAAAAUGACCAGGAGGAUAGCCAUAGAGAGCUUCAAAUGGAGACUGAAGAAUGGCAGAAUGGUAAGAAGUGUUAAACCAAAAUUCUGCUAAAUACAACCAAGAACUCCAUUUAUGAGGAACAGCAUGAACAAAACAUCGCAGAUAUAUUUCCAAACAUUGGUUCACACGCUCAGUUUGUCCGUCUGUCUAGGGGUGAUAAGCGGUGCUUAGUUGCAAUUGUGUGCUGGAUCUCAAAAACAACUGCUCCCAAAAGUGGCUAGUAAAAAUCUUGUCGCGGUCUGAAAUGAUGAACUUAGGUAACCCAUGUAACUUGUAAACAUUGACCAUAAAAGAUUGAGCCACAUCAAUAGCAGAAAAAGGAUGGGACAAUGGAAGGAAAUGAGAGUACUUGGAAAACUUGUCAACCACCACUAAAAUACAGUUGAAUUGACCAGACUUAGGCAAACCUUCAAUAAAGUCCAUGGUGAUAAUCUGCCAUGCACCAUCAGGGACAGGAAGGGGCUGAAGAAGACCAGGGUAUUUAGAGCGAUCUGGUUUGGCCUGCAUGCAAAUACCACAUGUCUUGACAGUAGUAUGAAUCUGUUUCUUCAUCUUGGGCCAAGCAAAAAGAGACUUGAUUUUACUAUAAGUAACAGGAAAACCAGAGUGCCCCCCCAAAGGACUACUGUGCAACGCAGAGAUAAUCUUAUCCUGCACAGAUGGAUUGUUACCUAUCCAGACUUUGCCUUUAAAGCGAAGGACACCAUUACACAAAGAAAAAUUGGGCCGAGACUCAGCAUUAAGAGUCAAGUCAGUCAAAAGUUGAGUAGAAAAGGCAUCUUGAAGAUAACCAUCAGAAACCUCCUGAAGCCAUACAGGACUGCAACUGGAAACCACAUGUAGUUCAGAUAACUCUUCAAGAAAGUGCAUCAGCUGCAGCAUUACUGGAUCCCUUCCUGUAGCAAAUCUUAAACUGAAGGCCCAACAACUUAGUAAAAGCUUUGUGUUGCCAAGGGGUGUGCAGCCUUUGUUCAUUCAAGUGCAUUAAACUAUGGUGAUCAGUUAAAAUGACAAACUCUUGCUGCUGCAGGUAAGAUCUCCAAUGGUCCACAGCUAAUAAAAUAGCCAAAUACUCCUUUUCAUAAGUGGAAAGACCCUUAGUUUUAACCCCCCAAGGCCUUACUAAGAAAGGCAAUCGGAUGACCAUGCUGAGAUAACACAACACCAAUACCUUCAUCACUAGCAUCAGUCUCAACAGUGAAAGGCAAAGAAAAAUCAGGAAGAGAUAACACAGGAGCAGAUACCAAAGCUUGCUUAAGAGCCUUGAAAGCCUGAUCAGCCUCCACAGACCAGACAAAAGGAACAUCCUUCUUUAACAGGUUGGUCAAAGGCCUGCAAAGGAUCCCAAAUUGCUUGACAAACUUCCUAUAAUAACCUGCCAAACCCAAAAAUCCCCUGAGCUUUUUGACAGAUUUUGGAACUGCCUAAUUAACCACUUCCUCAAUCUUAGCAGGAUCAGUAGUGACUCCUUGAUCACUGAUAAUAUGACCUAAAUAUGACAAUUGAUGUUGAGCAAAAGAACAUUUAGACAAUUUAACUUUCCACUGAUGCUUAGUCAACAACUGCAGAACUUGUCGAAGAUGGUGGACAUGAGAAACUAAAUCAGGGCUGCAUACAAGUAUAUCAUCAAAAAACACAAGAGCAAACUUCCUUAACACAGGAGCCAAAGUAUCAUUCAUGGCGCCUUGAAAUGUUGCAGGAGCUCCAGUAAGGCCAAAAGACAUAACACGAUAUUCAUAAUGUCCAGAGUGAGUUUGAAAAGCAGUUUUGUGCUCCUCACCCUCCACCAAUCUGAUCUGGUGAUAACUAGCCCUAAGGUCCAGCUUGGAAAAAACUUUGGAUCCAGACAAUUCAUCCAAUAGUUCAUCUAUAACAGGCAUAGGAAAUUUACCCUUCACAGUGAUGGAGUUCAACUGUCUAUAAUCAAUGCACAAGCGCCAGGUACCAUCCUUCUUCUUAACUAACAAUGCUGGGGAAGAAAAUGCACUAUUGCUGGGUUGAAUGACCCCUGACAACAACAUUUCCUUAACCUGCUUCUCUAUUUCAUCUUUCUGUGCAGGGUUAUGACGAUAAGGUUUGAGGAAGACAGGUUUAGCAUCUGAUUUCAGUGGAAUGGAAUGGUCACAAGCUCUCUUAGGUGGCAGGCCUUGAGGAUCAUCAAAUAGGGCAGAAAAUUCAGUAAGAAGAGAUUGAAUUUCAGGAGGAAUGUGACCUAACUUGGCAGUGGAAACUUCCUGAAGAUGAAGAACAUGCAUGAUGGAUCCCAACUUAAACAUGCCUUGCAAUUGAUCACCACUGAUACAAGAACAAUGAGUAGUUUGAGACUGAAUUCCCUUAAUGGUCACCAAGGAAUCUGCUCUAGCGAAUUCCAUGCACUUAGCAGCCCAAUCAAUGUUCAUAGAUCCCAAAGUGACUAACCAAUCCAUCCCUAAUAUAAUAUCAUAGCAACCCAAAGGCAACACCUUAAAGUCAGUUUUAAAAAUUUGACCCUGAGUCCACCAGUCACAACCAGGAAUAUACUGAGAGCAUGAUAUCACACCACCAUCAGCAACUUUAACUGAAACAACAUGCUGUAAACAUUGGAUACCCUGAAGUUUUUGUGCCACAGUAAUAUCAAUGAAGGAAUGAGAACUACCAGAAUCGACUAACAUGAGUAAUUCAUACCCCUGUACCCAGCCAUUUAACCGAAAAGAAGUCAAGGAUUCAGUACCAGUAACAGCCUGAUAAGAAAUAGCCAUAAAAACUGGUUCUACAGGUUCAGAUACAGUAUCGACGGACUCAUGGUUUAACUGAUCGUCCUGCAACGCAGCUAAAAGUUCCUGAACAACAUGUAACUGAACCGAGGAGCCACACUUAUGCUCUCUGCUCCAAUGCUCACCACACGUGAAACAAAGGCCUUUAGCACGCUUGUAGGAUUUCAAGGCAGAAAACUUAUCAGAGCGAGACUGUGAGAAUUCAGACUGUUUCCUAUCCUCCAACACAGAACCUUGAGGAUGGUUGGACACAGGAGAAACAGGUGCAGGUUGGCGAGCAAAAUUUUUAGACAACAAAAUCGGCUCAGGUUUCCUGUACACAGCAGGGUGACUUCCUUCUAGUAUUUCCUCUUGCAAAAAAGCCAACGAACACGCUGUAUCCAAAUCUUGAGGUUUCUGCAUCAAAACUCCAGAUCUAAUGUCUUUCCUCAGUCCUUCCACGAACUUGGUAACAAAAUAAUUCAGAGGCAAAGAACUAUCAUAAGCCAACAACUGAUGCAUAAUACCAUCGAAUUUCUCCACAUAAUCAGAAACUGAAGAAUCCUGAACAAUGUGAAACCACUGCCGAAUCAAGACCUUCUGCCUAUCCUUAGUGAAACGAAGACAAACUUGAUCAAAGAACUCUUGCCAAGUAACCCCGACCAGUUUGGAACGCACCGAUUGUAACCAAAAAGCAGCGUUGCCAGUAAAAUUCAGUCCAGCCACACACACCCAAUUCUUAGGAUGAACACCAUAAACCUCAAAGUACUCCUCGCAAUUACUCUUCCAGAGCUGACGACUAUCACCAUUGAAUUGCGGACAAGACAUAGGUGGAACAUUACCCCCAAUUCCCGAAGCACCCAAAAGAGCAGAGGCAAACGCAGACUGUUCCAGAGCAGAGGGGAGCGAAGUAAAUUGGGGCGGAGUUUGCAUACCAUCGGGCGAACCCGGAGAAGAAGGGGAAGGACGAGGUGGCUGCUGCACCAAGGACUGGAGUUUGUCGACUUGAUCUUGGAGUCCCACCACCGAAACGUGCAAAUCAUCCACGCGCUUCUCCACCACCGGCAUUCGGGAUUCCACCGCCACUUUGAGAGCCAAAAACUCAGAUCGGCUCUUCUCUUCCGACAGCUCCCGAUGCUUCUCACUCUCCUCCCGUUUCUUCUCCACCUCCUCCAUCUUCCUCAACAAGAGAUCGAGCUUACUUUCCUAAUCCAUGAUCUUGGCCGCUUGCUUGGUCACGUAGCGAGGCUUGUCGUAGCACGCCGUGAUUGACGAACUCGCUCGAGAUCUCGCCGACCUAGUUGAGGGAGCCGAAGCUUUUGCGGAAUAUAGUUGCCGAAGCAACAAAUUCCCACCUCACCCAGGAAUUACAGCAAAAUCAAGAGGAGGAAAAAAUUUCGGCAAGGCUCUGAUACCAAUUUGUUAACUACCCCCAAGGACAGAGGAAGAAUCGCCCAAACAGAACAACGAUACACACACACAGAUGGAUUUCACCAACCCGACAGGGUUGAUGCCGCCGCCGCCUUCGCCGCCUAGUUCAUCCUCAACUCAUCCAAAUGAAUACAGAGUUAGUUUUAAGAUGCUUUCUCUCUCACACGCAACUAUCGACAGCCUGGACAUGGUGCUCAUAUGGCCCAUUCCGGCCCACUCACUCUAGGAUUACAUACUCGGUGCCUAACAGGUCUUCCUUCCUUAGUCUGCUUAACCUCCUUGGUCUUGACAGUGUUCUGUAGCUCAUCCGGUACAACUGUGUUGCUGACAAGCAGGUUCAUCACGAUGGACAAGUCUUGUUGCUGUGUACAUAUAUACAAGGGGUAGAGCAUGUCAAGAAACACAAUGUAAUUUGUUACCGGUACUAAUUGCUGUAGCACAAGCUGCAUAGAACAAUGUCAGGCAAAUUAUAAACCUCAACUUUGAGCAAUGUCAGUCAGGUGGAGUGAAUCACAUUAGUACUGGUUCAGCGUCGGAGGAGUUGACGGCGUUCAGCGUCGCCGCGUCGACGCGGCUGUCCAUGUUGAAGCUGAUCGGCACCACCUCGUCGUCGACGUAGUACGUGUUCCGCAGUGACGCAAGCAGCCGCCGCAGCGACUUGGCGCGGUUCUGCGUGAUGGUGUUCACCGAGAUCCGCAUCCUGUUCCAGUCUGCGUGAAAUCCAUAGAUUGGUUAGAGCUUUGAUGUAGUUUUUGGUUGCAACAAUGGCGGAUGAGAGCUUUGAGGUAGAAUAAGCUUACUGGGCAGCGAGGUGGGGCUGAGGGUGGCCAUCCAGAGAACCUUGGAGAUGGAGUUGCUGACUUCGAUGUUGGCUCAGCCCAGGAACACUCUCACACUCACGAACACAAACGCCGGUGAGGGAGACGAUGAACAAUGGAUUUUACAGCGACGAACGCCGCGGAGCCGAUCGCUCCUGUAUCUUGGCUUUAUUCCUCACUGAACCUUGCAAAGAAACAACGAAGGAGUACAGGGGCCUCUUAUAGACCGGUGACACACCGGGAGCUAGCCUCCAUGCCGGCCAUUGCGCCACGUUCCGCAGAACCCGCUCGACGUCGCCGUGAGCCACACGCUCGCCCGGACGACGCGGCUUCCUCCGCAAGAACCGACGCCACGCACACCACGCACUCCCACGACUCGAUCAACACUGCAACGGCCAUGCAAACAACCAUGCAGCAGCCAUGCACUCGCGAUCACGACUCAAUCAAACUAACAGAACGCACACGACGCACACAUGCAGCAGCACGACACACACACACACUGACUCAACCACGCCAGGAAUACACCAUGACGUGUUUAUUUCCAACAUUCGACACCAAGCUCAAGGCCAACGGCGCCGACCUCCCGGACUACUUCGUCCUCACCCUCCUCACUGUCAUCCACGCCAUCCUCCCGCAGCCCUCCGACUCCUGCAACCCUAGCUCUGCGUCGCAGCCCGCCGAAGAGUAUUGCGCAGCGGCCAGCGGCCAGCGGCAGUCUCCGCCCCCCUCGCCGGCCAACGCCUUUUUCCCUCUCCGUGCGCGCUCGCCGGCCAGCAACGAAGGAUGCCGGGAGGGAGAGAGAGGAGGCGCCGGUCGCUCCCUCUCCCGUCGUCCACUCGUCCGUGGAUAGAGAGGAUGGUGGGUCCCACUCUUUUUUCUUUUGUCUAACUGACUUGUGGGCCCCACAUUUUGUUUUUAUUUUCUAUUUUUAUAUUUUUCUUCCAAUGUCACGUCACCGCCACGUAGGACGAGGACCAAGUCAAACCAGCCACGUAGGCGUCACAUCAGCCAAAACCACCAUCAAAACCGCUGAGGGACCUUUUUUGCACCGGUUUUGAUAGUUGAAGGACCCAUUAUAUCUGGUUUUACGGUUGAAGGACGAAAAUCGGAUUCGUUGACAAGUUAAGGGACCUUUAGUGAACUUAUUCCAGUCAACUUUGUAUAUGCCAUUAGCCCAUUAUACUCUAACCAUGACGGUACGUGGGCUGCUUUUUUGGUAGGCCGUAGGCUUAAGAAAACUUUUUGGUGGGCCUAGCAGAACUGUCUAGGCCGGACAGCCCAACACAAUGUCAUGGCAUGCGCGACCCACAAAAAGUGAAACAGGAAACCCAAACUGUUUCUUUUGCCUUGUAGAUACAAUUCCCACCUACAAGAACAGUGCUGUCACUCCGUUGAAAUGAAAAUUUUCACUCUACGUCCCUCGUCUAAGAGCCGAAUUUCAAUCUGAUCAUUCAACAGUAAAACUAAGUGCAACACAUCAUUAUGUUGCAAAACCGGUGUAAGUGAGGUUUCAAGCCAAUAUUGAGUCCAAUUUAGACUAACGUGAUACCUAUAUGGCUUAUUUGAUUUGGUUUUCAUCCUACGUGUUAUUGACGUGACACCUACCUAUAUCACUUAAAGCAAAAAAAAAAUAAAGUAAAUAAUUAAAACAAUUAUAUAGGGCCCAUUGACAGCAAAAAAUUAAAAUAAAUAAUUAAAACAAUUAUAUAGGGCCCACUGACAGCAAAAAUUUAAAAUAAAUAAUGAAAACAAUUUAUAUAGGGCCCACAUGUCAGUGGGUGCCUAUUAAAAAUAUACAAGUAAUAAACCUACAUGUCACUCACCUGGAUUAUAAGUUGUCGAUCGAACACUCGAACUCAAGAAUUUUUUUUUUCAAGAAAAGCUGUAUAUAGAUGUGUUACAUGCGAGUGCAAUUUUGCGUUCCAAAGUGCAUAAACAAGUUUGGAGGUUUGACUAUCAGUCAGGGACUACCGCCGGCGUCGAGCAGCUCGCCGCAGUCCGGGUUGGGACAGCUAGCGCGCGAAGGCGCCUGAGCCGCUGACCGACGGCGAGCUCGCAGAGCGCGACGCCACCACGCGUACGUCGAAGCCGCCGAUGUAGAGGUAGAGCAGGUUAAUUCUUAAAGUCCUCCGGGGUGCACGACGGCGUCGCAGUCGCAGUGGAAGUCCGGGAAAGGGCAGCGCAGCGCACGGGCACCUCUCCUCCUCCGCCGCGACGCGGGGCCUCGCUCGCGACGUGGCUGACGACGACGCAGGCGAUGCAGAGCUCGCGUACGUGCGCGCACCCGUCGGACACGCGGCGGCCGUCGUACAGAAGUACAGCAGCCUCGGCUCGUCGCAGAUCUCUCGCAGUGGAGCCACCCGAUGUCGUCGUCGCUGAUCGAGCGGCGGCACGUGGCGGGACGCCUCCCUGGCCGAUCGAUUACGCCGACGGCAUGCAGGCCUCGAGGAACUCCUGGUUGGGCUCCAGCGCCGCCUCGGCCGCCAUGUUUCUGUCGAAUGCUUGCUUUUGCUUCUGCGAGGAAUGAACACGUUUCAGCUACUUUGUUCAUGGGAAACUGUUUGAUGCUCACAACUGACAAAUUGUUUAUGUAACCGUUGGCAGAUCCAGCUAGGACCUGAGAAGGUUCCGUGACAUCACUAAAGAAAUGUGCUGAAAUUAUUUUGCAUGUACAUGUACAUCUUCAAAAAUCCAUCUUUCCCAAGAUAUUAGUAUUUUUUGACUUCAAUACAGUCUUCGAGAUGCUAUACAUUAACCAAUAAUAUCUAUAAAAGUAAGAUGUUUUAAAUAAAAAAAUAUUGCAUACUAUGAUAGUUUGUUCAAUGAAAAUAUAGUAACAUCAAAUUUACGUGAUCGAUCUUUUUUAUUUUUUUCCUAUUAGCAGUCAAUUUUAAAAAUGUUUGACUUAGUACUAUUCUAAAAAAUACUUAUAUUUUUAUAUUUUAGGACGGAUGAAGUAACCAAUAGCAAUAUUAGAAAUUUAACAAGCUUAGAAAUUAAUGUACCCUUUAAUAUAAAAAAGAAAUAUACUAUAGGUAUCUAAUUAAGACUGCGUUCGUUCUUGAGCUGAACAUCUGAGAUGGAAAUUGGAGCAAGCAAUUAACAUAUGAUUAAUUAAUUAAUUAUUACUAUAAAUUUGAAAAAUAAAUUUAUUUGAUUUUUAGUAACUUUUAUAUGAUUCUUUUAUGAAAUAUAUUGUUUAGCAGUUCGGGAAUUAUGCUAAUUAAGAAUGAGAUAUUACCUUAAGCCUAGAUGCCGGAACAAAAACAACCUAAGUGUGUGUUAAAGGCGUGCACUUAUAUGGAUGCGCAUGCUAAUAAUAGUGCACACACAUAUUUUCCAUGUAAUAAAAUUAGGAUUCACCCAAAAAAACACAUUAUAUUCGCAGCCUGCGCUAACCUGCAGGGAGCCAUAUAUAAAAUUUCGUUUUUUUUUUAUCAAAAGUGGGCAAUCUGUAAGAAAUCGUUAGCUCAGCCUAUCGUGGGCUGAAGUACUAACAGAGAGUAACAGGCUACUGGGCUCAUCCCCUUGUCCUUAACCAAGUUUCUACCGGUUCUCUCGCCCAAAAGACAAUAUCAACGCGCCUCAGCUUUGUCCAAUCAUACUCACUAGUCGCCAUAUACAGAUGAAAAAAAAAUGUUCCAAAUAUUGGUCGAUGAGAAAUCGCGACAUAUCAUUAUCGUUUCCGUCAAGAACAAGAACUCCGCAUAUACAAAUGGAGUAAUGGAAACAGGUUGAAUCGAAUGAUCGCCGACUCGCUACAGAACAUUACUAGCAAUGAUUCCCCAGAUUAAGCGGACGGUCUGAGCAAGUAAGGUCGAUGAAUCCGUCUUCCUCCUCCGAUUGUGAAGAUUUGCGAGGAGUACACUUGCAUGAAUACAUUCUCGGAUUAAAGGAUGAACCGCAGUCGUAGCAAAACACAGUGCCACAUCUGCAAACAAAAUUUAUCACAUGAAUGUAAGAAAUUUCAUGCCGACUUAGGAAGCACCAGUGAUGUGGUGGUAAAGUCGUGGGUGUAUGACUCUACCCACCAGAGUUCAAAUUAAUGCUGGUGCUCACAAAUAUUACGCAUAUAUAUGUGAACUUUCUAAAAAACUUUAGUGAGAUCAUGUAUGUGCUCCUGGUUUCUAUUUCUUAGAGCAUGUGUUAGGAGACGUAUUCGCGGAGAUGUGAGUGUUGUGUUGCGUGUGUAGUGUUGUGUGUGCGUGUAAGUUUGCCGUGUAAUCGUAAAAAAAUCAAAGCAUAAUUCCAUAACUACGGGUCUACGGCUCUAUUUGAAUAGCUGAAAGUGGUUUGAUGGAUCAUUUAUUUUUUUUCUACAGUUAUUUCAAAGCAUAAACAAAUGAAUUAUAACUACUGCAAAAUUGAAAGUAGCUUUAUAAAAGCAUUCAAGAUGUCACACCCCAAUCCGGCACCGCCGUACAACAGCACCUGACAGGAGCGUGUCGUAGGAAAAACGGCGUGAACCGCUUCCUACGAAACCGCGAUCUCAGUACCAGUCCCAGGACAUAGCGCUGGUACCCACGGUGACAAAUAUGAAUCAUUGCAAUCCUUAUAAUAAAUAGAGGACUUAUUUACCUUAACUUAGGUUGCAUUUUAGAACAGCCCGAGAAUGCAACCGACGACACGAACGAGGAAACACCAACAGCAGCAGCAGCAGCGGAACCAACGGACUAACACCCAACACCACAGGCGACGGCUGGGAACUAGGACGAAACCCUAUUCUUCAUUUCACUUCAUCUUCAUUUCAAGGUGUAGGAACUAUAUAUAUAUUUAUAUAGAGCAAGGGUGAGUACUUUCGUACUCAGCAAGUCACGAGAAUUUAGGUGUUUGAUGCAAGCUUGGAAGAGAGGCAAGGUUGUUUUGCAAAUCCUUUGUUUUGAAAUCAUUUUGAAAUUACUAAGUGGUUUACUUCUUUCUAAGUUUGGGCCGAAAAGAGACUUGUGUCUUGAUUCGACUUUAAGAGAUGUUUUUCAAUAACUCAAUUGGUAAUGUACCGACCCCCGGGUCAGAUCAUUACUUCUCGGCUCCCAGAGCCAUUUCACUUGAUUAAGCGGCUCCCAGAGCCUUUUCAUUUUCUCGGACUCCCAGAGUCCAACUGCCCAGCAGCACAACAAUCCGCUUCAACUCGGGAAGCCUAGUCUAUGAUGCCCGUAGACAUCCCGAAUCACACAGAUUCGUUUCUUGACCACUCAGGUCAUCCAUCUGCCACAUAGGCUGAUUCUGGUAACGAUUCCCAAACCACAACAACUUUUCACAAAGCACAGGCAAACAAAUCUACGCUACAGGAAACACCUCACAUCCGCCCAUGACCGUGGGUACGGCUGUUCGAACAGUUAGUUAACCUCUGCAGAGGGGGUACACUUUACCCACACGACAUUACUAACCCGGAUCACCCAGUCCGUGAGAUCAGCCAUGUCGGGAGACCCUAAGGUUUUCAUGACAAGGCAUUUCGAAAGCCGACACAGGGUUGCCAUAUGCCAACGAGAGGGGUCCCAGACCGACAACAGGUUAGGUCCCAGACCAUAUUGUGCCAGGAAGCCCGAGGGUUCUACCUGACACCAGCCCGUUGAAUCCACAUGUCUCAUGGCAUCAUGGCUCCUCCGAUUAGCUAAUUACUCAGCCAGGGGCGUCCCAUUGCACCCGUGUGGUCGCACUUAUUAUAUGCUCGGAUGAAUUUCCCACAGGAAUCGGUCCUUAUAUGCGAAUACAGGACAGUACCACAUAGGCACAACCCCCGCAUCGCGAGUUUUCACAAUCUAUUUUGUUUUCAAACACACCGAUGCCAUAUGUCGGGUUUUCAAGGCUCUCAAACACACCGAUACAAACAAUGGUGUAUGUGGAAUAGUUGGUAUAUGUGCUCAGAGAGCACGGAUACCGAAGUACCACAAAGGUGGAACGACAAGGAAUCAGGGUAGUACAACCUACAAAAAUUAGUGCGACUACUGGGUAGGUCUGUCGGUUUGGCACGCAAACCGAGGCCAAGCAAGUUAAGUGUGUGAUUCUACUAAUGCAAGUUGCAAACAAAAUAAUAAUGAUUUUCCAAUUAUAGGAGCAAUUGGUCAAAGGGUGAUUUGUCUUGCUCAAGGUCUUCACGAAGCUUCACGUAUCUUCGAGAAAACCCACGAUCGAUGAAAAUCCGGUGACCGCAACUAUACGCAAACAAUCAAAAACCUAAACAAAAGACCAAGAAAAAAUAUCCUAUUUAGACUAAAUAAUAGUACCAUUAGAUAGAUCACAAUUUUACAGAAUUACUGGAAGUGGAACGGGGUCAAUCGGAUGAGCGGUUGAGAAGAUAUGGAUUUUCGAAGUUUAUUGGAUUUUCUAAUCAAAGGAAAAACGAUUUAAUAAUUUAUUAAACCCUUUUUGGAAAGAAAUUAAAGGAGGGAUAUGAUUUAGACUUCCUCGGGUGGCUCGGGUGCGACUCGAGAGGACAGGCACGACUCGGCCGAACUAAUGGGCCGGCCGGCCCGGAGAGGCGGCCCAAGGGGGCGCGGGGAGAGUGAGGGAGAGGGAGGGCCGGUGGGCCGAGUCCACCUUGCGGGGUCCCGAGUGGGGCCCGCUUGUCAGUGGCGCGGCUCACCGUGGAAGCGGUGCAUGCGGCGCGCGCUAGGGUUCGGGUAGGAGUGGCGCACGGAUUGGUGCACCGGGUGGACCGAAGGAUGGCAGGCCCACGCGCAGCCGUUAGGCUCUCCGUGGACCGCGCGCACUGAGAGAGAGAGGAGGGAGCGGACCCGCCUUGACUCGGUCUUCACCGAGGUGGCGCUGACGUGGCGCCUCCGUGGCAUGCCACGCAGGCCGGCGAGAGGAGGAAGAAAGAGGCCGGCCGAGAUGGACGGCGGGCGGCGGGGGUCUCACCGGAGCAUGGCGCGACGGUCUUCGGCCAAGGGGGAGCACACCGGAGUGAAGAGGGGCACGAGAGGAGGCGAGCCAGUGGCUCGGAUUCGCCGGAGGAAGAUCGACGACGGCGGAUUGCGGCGACGCACGCCGGCGGUGAGAAAAAAGGGGGAAACGGCGGAGGGGCGACAAGGAUUCAACUCAAGGUGGUGGGAGUAUCUCUGGGAGUCGGGGAUUCUGUUUCCGGCGCCGGAUAGGGUGGAGGAGCACCGAGGAGGGCUAGCGUCGACGGCGGCCUCUAGGAGCUGACGGUAAUGGCGGCGAGGCCAUGCCAGGCGACGGCAUUGCUAUGGAAUGGUUUGGGGAGGCCCUAGGGAGUUCAAGGACGGUGUUGGCUAGGGUGGUCGACGAGCUGGGGCCCGACGACGGCGCGCGACUGUGUGCCGCGGCUGAAAAAGCGCAACGGCGAGGCGCGCGGCGCAUUGUGCGGCAGGAGGAGGAAUACGGUGGGGAGCUCACCGGUGAGGGAGGAGCGGUGUUGGCGACGCGGAGGGAGUCGCGGCGAGGUGGUCGCGACGGCGGGGCGGCGCGGAACCGAGAGGGCGCGGCCGAGAAAAGGAGGGAGGCAGCGAGGCCGAAAGGAUGAUGAGUGUGUGCACACGCUCUUGGCCACGGCAGUGCGGCACCGAGCUUGACGAGGCCGACGCCGAGGCUCACGCGGCCAUUGGCACAACGCGGCAGCGAGGAGGCAGUCGCGGAGGGGCGGGGGCGAGCAGCUGGCGGCCGGCAACAAUGGCGCGGGUGGUUCGAGCGAGGUGAAGACGAAACGAGAGGGGAGGGCGCGGGCUUUAUAGGCGAGGAGGAGAGGUCGGUUUGGAGGAGGGAAACCGACAUUGGCGGUCAAGGGAGCUCGGUUGGUGUUCACGGGCGGCAGCGGCGGUUUCGUUGGCAGUGCGAAAGCGGCGACGGUGUGGAUGUGUUGGGCGGCGAAGGCGGUGGAUCGAGCGGCGGAAAUUGAACCGCGAGCGCGGGCUGGCGCGGCUUGGCGUGGUCAAAGUGGGGGCGGCGAACUGGCGCGCGGCGUCAGCGGCGUUCUGCCUCCGCGCGCAAUGGCAUGGGCGUGAGAGAGAGGUCGAGUCUGAGAGGGAAAAAGGGGAAAAGAGGGAGAAAAAGGGGAGGCUUGUCCAUGCCGUUCUGGGAGGAAGAGUGAGAGGGGAGCGCGAGCGCUGGCUCCCGUCUUUGGAGGGUAGCGGCAAUGGGCAUCGGGAGAGAGGAGAGAGAACGAGAGAGAGAAAAGAGAGCUCUCUCUCUCUCGGCCAUGGCGCACGCGCGAGCGGCGCUCGAGGGAAGGGGAGAGCGGCUGGGAGAGGGAAGUGGGCUGAGGGGAAAAUGGCCCACAACACCCGAGGGAGGCAAAAUAAACUUCUGCAUAGAGAUUUGAGUUGGGAGGAUAUUGGGAUUGGAAUUUGGAUUGGAGAGAAUUUGAGAAGGAUUUUGGAAUUUAACCUUGAUACUUGGCCUCUAGGAACAUAAGGUGGAGUCAAGGGAAGGAUUCGAGGUGGGAUUUGAAUAAUUUUGGAUUCGAAGAAGUAUUUGGCGAGGAUUCAAGGAAGGAUUUGAAUUUCGAAGACUUGAAUUGGAAUAGAAAUCUUGAGGUGGACGAUUUUGAUGGCGAUGAGAGGGAACAAGGACGGAUUUGAAUUGAGAUCCAUGGCACGACUUAGACUCGCACAUAAAGAAAAGAAAUUUUUGCAAUCAGGAUUUUGCCGAAUUAGUUUUUAACGUCUUGCUAAAAGCGCGGCGUUACAAUAUUUUAGUAAGAAAACUUUUACACAAAAUGCAUUGGUUAGCAGUUUGAGAAACAAGCAAAUAUUUCUUUAAAAAAGAUUUUAUUUUCUCCAUAAAUAAUGGUCAGUUACCGCUAAGAUAUUUCUCUCCCUUUUCAGCGUCCACUUCGCGAGGGAAGUUCAGUACGUGUUCGGUCAAGUCAACAACGGUUAGUCAAAACUAACGAAUGGAAUACGUGUUUCAGAUGAGUGGCGAAAAUUUCGCCCCGAUUUCGAAGUUUGGAAGCAAAGUUUAGAGAUUUGAGUCUAGCGAUCGAAAUUAAAGAUUGAAUCGAAGAGGAGGAUCGGAGUAGUGGUGAAUCGAUGAGUUUACCUGCAUGUCAUGCGCUUGCACCCAUCGAUCUUGUCGAUCAUGGCGCGGCAGCUGGGGCAGCGCCGCCACUCGCGCCCCUUGGCGAGCUGGGUCAGCGCGCACCGUGCGCCGCCGUCGCCGCCGCCGCCGCCGCCAUGGCGGUCGUCCCACGGCUCCUCGCACUGCAGGCAGAACGCGCGGGAACAGGUCGGGCAGGACGCCUUGGACGCCGCGGCGCGCAGGGGCAGGGCCGCGGCCGCCGCCUCGCCCUCGAGCGCCGCCAUCUCGCCGCAGUCGCGGUAGGGGCACCGCGCGCGCGCGGGGCCGACGGCGCGCUCGCAGAGCGCGACGCACCACCGGUCGAACACGUCGAUGUCGAGCAGCUUCUUGCAGCGCUCCGGGUGCAUGACGCCGCCGCCGGAGCAGCCGCCCCCGCCCGCCAGGAGGCACGGCACGGGCACGCUCCCCGCCGCGACGCGGGCCUCGAUGUGGCCGACGACGCAGGCGACGCAGAACGCGUGGGGGCAGCCGUCGGAGACGCGGAACCGGUCGAACACCAGCUUCCACUCCAUGCAGACCUCGCAGUAGAACCGCCCGAUCUCGUCGUCGGUGAGCGGCCGCACGCGGCCCGCGCGGGACGACGACGACGACGGCGGGUCCAGCAUGGAGCCCCGGAUCAGCUCCUGCAGGUACUGCUCCCGGUCGAGCUCCUGCGCCGCCGACGCCGACGCCGACGCCGCGGCGCUCGCCAUGGGAGGGGGACGACGCGUACUUGGCGCUAAUUCUUCGGCGAGAAGGAACUAGGAAGUGGAUGGAGUGGACUUGGGCUAGUGCGGGUCGUCGUCGUCGUUGGUCGCGAUCCCUUUAGCCUUUAGGUGGGUGUGUGCGCUUUUUAAAGUUGGGCAGGUACAGGGUACGAUUGGAACGGUUAGAGAUGAGCUAGAUACACAACAAUAUUAUGCUUAAAGGCACAAUAUUUGCUAACAUUACGUAUCAUGCUGUGAGUAUAUUUAGGAUAUUUAGGUUGUCUAUAACUUCCAUAUACUUAAAUCAAUCAAGUGAGAUCAUUAUUUGUAAGAGUUUUGUAAAAAAAAGUACGUGUAGCAGGACUCUUUUUUUUAAUUAUUAUUAUUAUUAUGCAUGUGCACACACUACUAUACUCGUAAUCCCAUACUUACGCACCCACCAAUUCUCGAUAUCUUGGCAAAUUCAUUACAAUCCGCAUCAACCAUAAUGCUAAAUUUCAACAAAUCGUGAAGAAAACAACAAAUUUUGGUUGUGAUCGUGAUGAAAGUCUUGAAUUUUCUUUGUAAUAGUUUCCUCAGUUAAAGUUAUGAUAGUAGUCAUAACCCAUGCUUUACUCAAUUACUGAGGAAUGACUCGGGCAGUGACCCAUGCCACGGUGCCACUCCACUUUCCUCCCUCCCACCUCCUCGCCACCAUCAGAGCCAUCCGUCGGAAAUCUUGCGGUGACAAGGAUGUUAGUGGUGUGGGGCCUUUUCUCCCAUGAGCUCCCAGAGGUUGCGAGCACAAGGUGAUAGAUUUGGAGGAUGGAUCUGGCCAUGAUAGUGACUGUGAUGGCGGCAACGCGGUUGAAGCGACGACAACUAUGACCAAUGGUGUUGAAGACAGUUCCAGUAGUGGAUCUAGCGCUGGUGAUGCUAGAUCCAGUAGCUUCGAGGCUAGAUCUACGUGACCAACGCGUGGUAGAGGAAUGCUCGCAAGGCAUAGCAAUGGCGACACUGGGCAAUGGUGAGACCGCCUGCGUGGAGGUACGGGGAUGGGUGUGAGCAGUUGCUGUGGCAACCCCCUCGUGCCGACAGGAUGCGGUAUUGGUAGCAGACACGGCGAUAGGAGGAAGGUGGGGGUUGACCACCUUUGUGUAGAGGUGUUGGCGACAACUCUCCUCUUCUCGUGCUUGGUAGUCGGCGACGGGAUGGCGUCUGUGUCGUUGGCUACUGCGCAGAUGAGAGACCACCUGUAAACAUAGUUAUACUUAGCUAGAAUCAACUUCAAAUACACAUGCCAUAUAUCCGGUGUGCACUAGUUAAGUUAUAUAUAGGAAAGCCACUAUGCAUGUGACAUGGGUUUUUUUUUGGUAAGUGAACAAAAUUUAAAAUUUUCACUACUAUUUGCAUAUUUGCAUUGCAUUUGAGGUGUAACUGUGCAGAGGAAUAAUAUUACCACCCCUUUUAUUUGAAUGGCUUUUAUUGGAGGAUAAGAUGCAGUUCUCCUUUUAGAAAAUCUGCACAGUGCUUUAAUCUGUAUAUUGCAUUUAUUCAUGGUUAGAUGCUAAAAACAUGAUACUUUUAUGUACAGAGAAGACAAGUGUCCUCAUGUAUAGUGAUCCAUGUGUUCGGUGCUCAUGGGUCACCAUCCACUAAUUAAUCUUUCGGUCCGCACAAAUUACUACUUCCUCCGUUUCAUAUUAUAAGACUUUCUAACGUUACUCACAUUCAUAUAUAUGUUAAUGAAUCUAGACAUAUAUGUGUGCCUAGAUUUAUAAACAUAUAUAUGAAUAUGGGCAAUGUUAGAAAGUCUUAUAACCUGAAACGGAGAGAGUACUACUAGUCUCUCCAUUUCAAAAUAAAUGAUAUGCCCAUAUUAUUAGUAGAGAUUAAGAUGUAAGAAGAAAAUAAUAUAGCGUUUCUUAUUAAAUAUGAUGUACUAAUUGUUGGUGAAAGGGUGGUUAAAGAUAAUAUAAUGAUAAAUUUAAUAACAAGUAAUUGAUGGGACCAAUACUACUUAAAAUAGCACUAUUUUUUUAAAAAAAUUAAAUCCUAAAUAAACACCAAUUUUGGGGCUGAAAGAGUAGACACAGCAUAGAAAAGAAAACGAACUUUUCAAUUGCUAAUCAAUGGUUGAACCGAAGGGGAAUUUUUUUUUAAAAAAGUUGUCCGAUCUGUUUCGUUGCAACAUCCAGAAUUUAUCAGCUACUAAAGACUAAAGAGUAACCAACAUUGUUGGUUUCUUAUCGUAACUCAUCCUAACUUAUUGAUUAAAUAUGGAGAACACACAUUUUUUAAAUAAAAACUACUAACACUAUCAGCCUACACACAAACCCCUAUAACACAUUUUUUUUCCAAGGGACUCCUAAAAUGUUGAGAACAUAUAUACUCCCACCAUUCUCUUUUAUGUGACCUCCAACUCCAAACUAAAAAAACAUAGGUAUAAAUCAGCAGCUAAGAUAGAUAAAGCACACACACAUAACAGAAUCCAACACAUCUAAUAAAUGUCUCAAUUCAAAGAUGAUACAAUCCGAAACCAUCCAACCAUCUAUGUCUUUCUUUCCAACUUUUCCCAGCAACCCGCUGGAAGCGAAAAGAAGCAAAUUGCACAGAUCCACACAUCAUUCAACCACGAUCGAUGAAUUAAACCGCUAAGAAAUCCAGGUAAAUUCGAUUAAGUAAUCUAGUCGACCGACGGAUCAAACUUUAAAUUAAGGAAAUAGUUUGGUUUAGCGACCAGUAAACGCAUGCAGAAUCUGCUGGGGGCAGCAGCUAAUGUUCGACAUUGUCCAUGCAUGCAUCAGCCUCCAGCUUAGCUCCUUCUUCCUCGGCGCCGGCGACGGCGAGAUCGAUUCUGCAGGUGAUCAGGGCACCAGAACGACGCCGAGAUUGUCGAGGCACUGGCAUUUCUCCUUCCCCUCCAGCACCGCUCCUAUCUGGAGCCCACAAAGGUAGCAGAAGACCAUGCGGCACCUUCAAAAUAAACCGCUUGUUAAUUAAAUAAAAAAUGUAUGAUAUGUGUGUUAGCCACACUAAUACACACACAAACAUAUACACAAAUCUGAAUUAUGAUAACGCAUAUACAUAAAAGUCUAUUGCUCCAUGUAAUCUGGCAAAAUCGUAUUCCCAUUAAAUAUAUAAACAUACACCUCUGUAAAAAUCUUCACAGCAAGUUUUUGAAUUCAAUGUGCUUCCAUAUCUUGGUUCAUAUUCAAAUCUACGCCAUUGAACCCCCACUAAAGCCAUUGAACGCCAGUUUACUUACUACAAUUACCACUCAAAAGUUCAUUUAACCUGGAGAAACAUCCUAAUGUGUACGCUAAAACCAUAUCAAACCAAAACUAUCAAGUAUAAUGAAACGGAUUGAGAGUUGGAGGGAGUAAAUAUAUAUACACCACUGUACAAAGAUGUAAUUAUCAUUAAACACGAGUUAUACCAAACUUCUACCAUGGUAAAAAUGUUUCCCAAGCAUUUAAUGGUGCAAACGGAAAAACAAAGGAACCAAAUAUGGAUUAGACACAAACUAAAGCAUGUCCUACCUUGCAAUGUAACCCAAUAUAUGUUGUUAACACUUUCUCCCUACGAAAAUGUUGGAUAACGAAUCUACAGACAAGUUCAAACAUGAAAAAACAAAUGUCCCCCCUAUAAAAAGUUAGAGGACGAAUCUACAAACACAUUCAAAGAUGAUACAAUCAGAUGCUUUGUUUUUUAAAAACCAGAUGAGUGAUGUGCACCAAACCGUAUACGCUAUAUAUUACUCCCUCCGUUUUAAAAUGUUUGACACCGUUGACUUUUUAGCACAUGUUUGACCGUUCGUCUUAUAUUAAAAAAAAUUGUGAAAUAUGUAAAACUAUAUGUGUACAUGAAAGUAUAUUUAACAAUGAAUCAAAUUAUAUGAAAAAAAUAAAUAAUUACUUAAAUUUUUUGAAUAAGACAAAUGGUCAAAUACGUACUGAAAAGUCAACGGUGUCAAACAUUUUGAAACGGAGGGAGUAACAAAACUUCUGCCAACAACAUACUACUUUAAAAAAAGCGCCUUGACAACCAAAGAAAAACUUGACGUCGAAUAAUUAAGAAGAAUAAUUAAAACCAUAUAUUUGUGCUCUCUAUGCUAUCUAGCACAUAGUACUAACCACGUAUUUUAACUCCCUAUGCUAUCGAACGCAUCUCAAACUAUAUGUGGGAGAUACAUUUUCUCCAAAUUAUGUACUACAUUUUCCUCAAAAAAAAUUGUGUAACUACAUUUGAAAUGCUCGUGAUGGAUUAAAUAGAGUAAUGAAGCAAAUGCAAGAACCUAUGAAAUGCUCAUGAUGGAUCAUAAUAAAUAGUAGAAUAAUGAAGCAAAUGCAACAACACAAGAAGUGAAAUGAAGUAGACAGGGAGGUGAGCACAGUAGUGAAGUGAGUUGAGUACCUGCAACUCAUGACCCUGCAGCCGGCUGUCCUCUCAACCAGCAUCCUGCAUUUGGGGCACGCCUUCCACCGCCGCUCGUCGGCGAGCUUCUUCACCAUGGCGGCCUCGGGCCCCUUGGAGCAGUCCCGGUGGUCGGCGUCGUCCGCCGUGCUCCACUCCCCGCCGCACGUCGCGCACAGCAGGUGCUGGCACGCCGGGCACGCCGCCAUGGCCGGCUCCGCCUCGCCGCUGGUCUCCAGCAGGAUCCCGCACCGGCGGUUGGGGCAGUACGCCCGCCGGUCGUGCGGCACGGCGCCCUCGGCGAGCCGGAGCCCCCAGUCGGUGAACGCGGCGAAGUCGAUGGCCUUCUUGCACCCCUCCGGGUGGAGCACGCCGGCGCCGCCGUCGCCGCCGUCGGCGCACUCCGGGUCCGGGCACGCCACCGGCACGGCCCCCUCCCUCACCUUGCCGUCGAUGUAGGUGGUCAUGCACUCGAGGCAGUACUUGUGGUCGCAGGGGAGGCCGCGGAAGAGGUCGAGCAUCGGCAAGGUGUCGAAGCAGAUGCCGCAGUCGAACGUCGGGAGGUCGCCGUCGGCGAGGGGGAGCACCCUCGGCCGCCUCGUCGACGGGCCGGCCUCGUCGGGGUCGAGGUCGGAUGGGCGGAGGCCCCACUUCUUGUAGAAGUUUGGCAUGGAGAAUUCACCUUCUUCUUCUUCUUCUUCUCCGGCGAUGGCGGCGGCGGUGGCGCGGGGUGGUGGUUGCGCCACGACGGGCGAUUUUGUGAGGUAUUGCACCGGGAGAGGCCCAUGGAGCUCUGGGUCCUCUUGCAGCUCGGCGAUCACGGCGUCGCGGAUGACGGAGUCGUACCAGUCGUUGUCGUGGCCGUCUUCCAUGCCGGCGAAGACGGCCGGCGUGUCCCUGUCGGCGAGUAGGGCCUGCCUCUUCGAGGAAACCGAGUCGUUCUCGUUCGCGACGUUGCGGUGAACCUCUUCUUCUUCUUCCAUGCCGCCGGCGGCGCCUCCUUUGCCGGCGGAGAUGGCCGGGGUUCUGUGUUGCCCACACUUGCCGGCAGAGACGGCAGGGGCGGCGUGGCUCCCUUCUCCCGUGGUGGCGGUGACGGCCGCCGGGGUGUCGGCGGCGGCGGCGGCGGCGGUGAGCUGGCGGUCGGCGGCGGCAAUGCGAGUCCAUAUCCGGCCGAACUGCGCGACGUUUGGGCGAGGGUUUGCUUGCAAUGCUGCCAUGAGGUUUUCUGCCCUAGCCCAACGGCCAUUGCCGGCGCCACGGGCAUGGCCGGUGCCGGGAGCGGCACGAGCCGCCAUACGGGCGGCAGGACGUCUCCCGCCGUGGCGGGGAGCGGCGGCGCCGCCAGCGAUGAGGCCGCCGGGGCGGAGUGAGAGUUCAGUAGACGGCGCCAUGGCAGCAGGUAGGCCCUGUGGUAAGGUGGCGGUAGAGCUCGUGCCGAUGUCGGCGGUGGCGGCGCCGCCCGGCGGCCGCGGGAGGAAGGCCGUCGCUGAUCUUGCCGGUGCCGGCUGCUGUCUCGUCGCCACGGUGCGGCGCCCACCGGAUCGUAACGGAGGCGGCACGUACAGUUGGACGGUCCGCGCCGCCGCCGCCGCCGCCGGCGCGUCAUCAUCAUCAUCGAUGACGAUGGGUUGGGCCCUGCUCCCGGCGGCGCCGGCGGCGAGGGAAGACGUCGAUCCUACGCGAUCCAUCGGCGGCGCGAAGCUGCUCCAGUCGUCGUCGCCCAGCUCCAUCAGCUGCGACACGUACAGGUCACGCGCGAACGCCUCGUCGACGGCGACAUCGGCGGCGGCGGCGGCGGCGGCGUGGUGGCUGCUCGAUGCUCCUCCUCCAGUCGCAGCAGGGUGGGGUUUUCCUCCUUCCAUGGCGAAUUGGCGCGAUCGAUCGACUUCGAUUCUCUCAGAGAUUUUCUAGGGUAUUAGGGAGUCGAUCGAUCGAUCGAUCUUGAAUUUCUUGACCUGCAUGAGAAGAAAGAAGAUGCGAAUUAGGGGGGGAUUUCUUGUUUCUACUCAGAAAAUUAAUGUACAGAUCCGAGGCUGACUGUACUAUCUGAAUUUCUAUGUGUUCAGCUCAUAAAUUGUACUAUUGGCGCCUAUAUAUAUAUGCUGAAUAACAGGAGGUAGAUCAAAGUUUAUUCGGGAGUAGAAUUGCAUAUAUUUCCAAAAACACGUGUGCAUGCGACUUCAUCGGUUAAUAUUGAUGAAUAUAUACUACUCUUGCUUUUUGUUCAAAUAUUGUUGUAUUUUGUUCUCACUUAUAUUAAGCAAAAUCGGCCCUUGUACAAAUGGUGUGCACAUAAAUAAUCUGAUAAAAAUGAUAAACCCACAAAUACAAUGAAAUAGAUCGGGAUGUGGAUUUAGAGUGGUUCCUACAUAUUAUACACAUAGUUUUGCAAAUAUGUAAAUAUGCAAAUAGUUGUCUUGCGCAAGCAUAAAUACGGUGAAUGCAAGUACAUAAUACACAUAUAUUGAAUUGAAAGUGUGAUUAAUCAGCCAUGGUAAGAAAUGUCGGUUAGGCCAAGAAUUCAGUAGAGAAUGAUGGAGCAGUGGCAAUGGAUCUAGUCUGAUCUACGAUGAUGAGAAAAACCGAGAAAACAUGAAGGUAACUUACUAGUGAC